Molecule: transfer RNA, 89 nt
Filed under: Caenorhabditis elegans
Lineage: Eukaryota; Metazoa; Nematoda; Chromadorea; Rhabditida; Rhabditidae
Description: Unclassified non-coding RNA F42H10.10
Source: RNAcentral
AAAAAGAUAAGCCCAAUGCGGGGCUCGAACCCGCGACAACCAGAUUAAGAGUCUGGUGCUCUACCGACUGAGCUAACCGGGCGGCGAUG